Molecule: ribosomal RNA, 253 nt
Filed under: uncultured bacterium
Lineage: Bacteria
Description: partial 16S ribosomal RNA
Rfam family: Bacterial small subunit ribosomal RNA
Source: RNAcentral
UACGUAGGGUGCGAGCGUUGUCCGGAAUUAUUGGGCGUAAAGGGCUCGUAGGCGGUUUGUUGCGUCGGAAGUGAAAACUCAGGGCUUAACCCUGAGCCUGCUUCCGAUACGGGCAGACUAGAGGUAUGCAGGGGAGAACGGAAUUCCUGGUGUAGCGGUGAAAUGCGCAGAUAUCAGGAGGAACACCGGUGGCGAAGGCGGUUCUCUGGGCAUUACCUGACGCUGAGGAGCGAAAGCAUGGGGAGCGAACAGG